Molecule: non-coding RNA, 624 nt
Organism: Sorex araneus (European shrew)
Lineage: Eukaryota; Metazoa; Chordata; Mammalia; Eulipotyphla; Soricidae
Source: the annotation of a RefSeq genome assembly
AUGGCCUGGAUGAUUCUUCUGCUCAGUCUCCUCUCCUAUGAGUCAGGGGUCACUUCUCAGAAUGUGGUGAUUCAAGAAUCGUCAUUGUCCACAAACCCUGGGGGUACAGUUACAUUCACCUGUGGCUCCAGCACUGGGGCUGUCACCACCAGUAAUGAUGCUCGUUGGAUUCAACAGAAGCCCUACCAGAAGCCCUGGGGUCUAAUAGGUGGAACCAGUAAUAGAUAUCCUGAUGUUCCUGCCCGAUUCUCUGGCUCCCUGCUUGGAAACAAGGCAGUGCUCACCAUCACUGGAGCCAAGGAAGAGGACGAGGCUGAGUAUUUCUGUGCUCUGUGGUUCAGCAACCAUUUCCACAAAUCCUCACUAGCCACAACUCAAGAAGGCACAGUUACACUCACCUGUGGCUCCAGCACUGGGGCUGUCACCACCAGUAAUUAUGCUUAUUGGAUUCAACAGAAGCCCUACCAGAAGCCCUGGGGUCUAAUAGGUGGAACCAGUAAUAGAUAUCCUGAUGUUCCUGCCCGAUUCUCUGGCUCCCUGCUUGGAAACAAGGCAGUCCUCACCAUCACUGGAGCCAAGGAAGAGGACGAGGCUGAGUAUUUCUGUGCUCUGUGGUUCAGCAAC